GUGGGGAAUUUUGGACAAUGGGCGAAAGCCUGAUCCAGCCAUGCCGCGUGCAGGAUGAAGGCCUUCGGGUUGUAAACUGCUUUUGUACGGAACGAAAAGACUCUGGUUAAUACCUGGGGUCCAUGACGGUACCGUAAGAAUAAGCACCGGCUAACUACGUGCCAGCAGCCGCGGUAAUACGUAGGGUGCAAGCGUUAAUCGGAAUUACUGGGCGUAAAGCGUGCGCAGGCGGUUAUAUAAGACAGAUGUGAAAUCCCCGGGCUCAACCUGGGAACUGCAUUUGUGACUGCAUGGCUAGAGUACGGUAGAGGGGGAUGGAAUUCCGCGUGUAGCAGUGAAAUGCGUAGAUAUGCGGAGGAACACCGAUGGCGAAGGCAAUCCCCUGGACCUGUACUGACGCUCAUGCACGAAAGCGUGGGGAGCAA
RNAcentral lists this ribosomal RNA (425 nucleotides) under uncultured Acidovorax sp. RNAcentral's name for it is "bacterial SSU rRNA". It matches the Rfam family "Bacterial small subunit ribosomal RNA", at positions 354 to 771 of the family's 1533-position model. Lineage: Bacteria; Pseudomonadati; Pseudomonadota; Betaproteobacteria; Burkholderiales; Comamonadaceae. The record is from RNAcentral.